UUACAGGAUCUAUUUAGAUCCACCUAAGUAAAGUUUAUAGUUAGUU
Sorghum bicolor (sorghum) is the source of this 46-nucleotide non-coding RNA. NCBI's taxonomy places the organism in Eukaryota, Viridiplantae, Streptophyta, Magnoliopsida, Poales, Poaceae. The record is from Rfam.